Molecule: ribosomal RNA, 392 nt
Filed under: uncultured bacterium
Lineage: Bacteria
Description: partial 16S ribosomal RNA
Rfam family: Bacterial small subunit ribosomal RNA
Source: RNAcentral
AUACGGAGGAUCCGAGCGUUAUCCGGAUUUAUUGGGUUUAAAGGGUGCGCAGGCGGCCAUUUAAGUCAGCGGUUAAAUCGUGGGGCUCAACCCCAUACUGCCGUUGCUACUGGGUGGCUUGAUUGCGGUCGAGGUUGGCGGAAUUCGUUGUGUAGCGGUGAAAUGCAUAGAUAUGACGAAGAACACCGAUUGCGUAGGCAGCUGACCAGAUCGCAAAUGACGCUCAUGCACGAAAGUGCGGGGAUCGAACAGGAUUAGAUACCCUGGUAGUCCGCACAGUAAACGAUGAAUACUUGUUUUCGGCGAUAUAAUGUCGGAGGCAAAGCGAAAGCGAUAAGUAUUCCACCUGGGGAGUACGCCGGCAACGGUGAAACUCAAAGGAAUUGACGGGG